Molecule: long non-coding RNA, 1358 nt
Organism: Raphanus sativus (radish)
Lineage: Eukaryota; Viridiplantae; Streptophyta; Magnoliopsida; Brassicales; Brassicaceae
Exons: 3
Source: RefSeq, a predicted model, not a curated record
CACACGUAAUUACUCAUUUGUGGCCCCUUACAUUCUUUCUUCUUCGCUGUCGACGCCGACGCCAUCUCCGUACCCUCUUCACAAACGAAACGGCUCACAUCUCCUUCAAUCCGGCAUUAAUUCUGACCUUUUCCCUUGUGUAAUCAACCCCUCUCUUUAAAAUUACUCUCAGCCUCUUCGUUUCCAUUGAAACCGCCGCACUCUUCUACUAUAAAUAUGAGCCCAAUUCAUCAACUUGAGGUUUCUGCUGAUGAAAAGAGAGUGAUUGGCAAUAUCCGUGGAGAGGCUUGAUCAGUCUAACGACAGAAUCAGAGAGUAGAAAAACAAAACGGUGGAGACAAAAUAUCUUGGUGUAUCAGUUAUUCAAGAUACGUGCCAGCACCAACAAACUCUCCUUCACUCGCAUAGCAAGGGUGCAUGACCAUAUACCUUGCGUAUGUGAUUGUAGCUUCAUUGUGUGGAUGAGGAUGAGGUUUUCAAGUCUAUCACUUGCCCCCUUUGUUGUUCUUGGUGUGAUUUCCCACUUGCUGCAUAAAUGUCUAUAUGGUCCUCCUCCUUUGUACUACAACAGUUUCACCUUUUUUUUAAUCUUCUUCAAUGUGUUAAUGUCUCAAACUUUUUUCCUAGAAUGAAACUCUCUGUCUCCUUAACUACUCUCUGAUUCAGUUGCAUCUCUUGUGUUUCAAUAAAAAACAGUUGGGGAGAGAAAGUAUCAGCAACAAUAGACGCAGACAUAACUUUCAGAACAUAAAGCCAACAAUAAGAACAACAAAGGGAAAUGGGUCCACAGCAACAGAAUCGGAAGCAGCAUUAGUUGCUAAAAGACCUGACUCUGGUGGUUAACAAGGCUCUGUUAUACAUCUUCUCGCCAACCAUUUUUUGCCAAGUUUGAUCCUUCACUGAAGAUAUAACAUUACAACGUUGAGAUCUCUCCAAACCAGAUCUCUCCAAACCCUUCAAAGGAAAUUGCUCGGAUGAUUAAACAAAAACUCGUGGAGACUAUGCAGGGUAGCUUCUCUGGUGCUGUCCCUUUUUUUAAUGGUAGGAAAACAUUUACAGCCCUGUGGAGUUUCAAGAAGAUAGGCUUCAGUUCUUUGCUAACCUCCCUAUCCCAUCCUGCAAUACUUUGAUCAAGUGUGGUGACUAGCAUGAGAAGCUACCGCAGAAGAAGAUUGUUAAAUGUUUAGGGUUAACAUGAAGCUUACAUGAACAUUGCAUUGAAGGCUUUAUUUAAGAAAACCACUUUCUAUGAACUAAGACAUUUUCCUUAAAACCAUGUCACUGCUUUUAUAAGUUAAUUUUGUCCAGCUACUCUAUUACUACUCGGUUAUCAAUGUCAAGAAAUAUUUUUAUUAUAA